Long non-coding RNA from Eucalyptus grandis, 1496 nucleotides. RefSeq lists it as uncharacterized. Lineage: Eukaryota; Viridiplantae; Streptophyta; Magnoliopsida; Myrtales; Myrtaceae. The transcript has 4 exons. The record is from RefSeq and is a predicted model, not a curated record.
GGAUUGUCCCCGUUUGACAACAAUAUUUCCAACCGAGACAUCCUUCCGAAUCUUGACAAAUUUAGUGGUGAAGAAUUCCUUUGGAUUGGUACAUCUAGUAACGACUUCAGCAGUCACAAAUUUGGUACAUCUCACUUAUAUGACUAUAAUAGGAUGUGAAAGAAUGAAAGAAAUAGUGGCCGACGAUGGAAACAGAGAAGGAAAAGUGAUUUCUUUUGAAAAGCUAAGAUGGUUGACACUUGAACAUAUGCCAAACUUAGAAUGCUUCUCUUCCAUCCCAAGUUGCAUCUUUAGGUUUCCAUCCUUAUGGACUAUUGAAGUGGAAGAGUGUCCGAAAAUGAAGAACUUUUCUAAGGGUACACUAAGCACACCAAAACUAGAAGAUGUGUCACUGUUCAGAUACAAGUGGGAAGAGAAUUGGGAGAAGGGUGAUGAUCUCAAUACAACCAUACAGAAGUUAGCAGCAUAAAUCAAUGCACAUAGAAUUGUAGGAAGCAAAGCGGGUCUCUCCUUCUCCUUCUCCUUCUUGACGCCAAAGGCUCUUUCUCCAUCUUUCUUCUUCUUCUUCUUCUUCCUCCGUGGAGCGAAAUUGGGGGAAGCCUCUGCUGCCUUCACAAAGGACGGAGCAAAAAUGAAGCAUCAGGAAUUGCCAGGACUGCGAGAAGUGAAGCUGCAAUUAGCGGAGCGGAGCCAAGUAGAUUCAACCAGACGCUGUCGUUGUCGCCGUCGUCACCGCCGGAGGUGGCACAACCGAGUCUGGACAGUUAGUCGUCCACUCACUUCAUCAAAGAAGAAGAAGAUCACACUCUCUCUCCGCAUCUGUAUCCGACAAAUCGCUGGUCCAAACAUUUGAGCAAAUUGAGGCAUCCUGAGCUGGUUUUUUAAGGUCCCAUGCGCCCAAGGCCACUCACUGCUCUUACAUCGGCCAACAAAUUUCAAAUGGAGCAUCCCAAUGGAGCAUUCCUUUUUCAAAGGUGGUGAGGAGGCCCUCUUAUGUUGACUUUGGCUUGGCAACAUAAUCAGGAAAACAAGCAAAUUGCAACUCUCACGUAUUCAGACAGGUUGUGGACGGUGAAGCUCAGGAUCCAUGGACUUUUUUUUUUUGCUGUUUGACACCCAAUUGCUAGAGAAGCUCGUUUGCAUUUAGGAGAUGUUUGUGUGUUUGAGCUCAUUGAUAGGGGGGAUGUGUGUUUAGAGUCUACAUUUCCACUAGUGCUGGUAAGGACUUGGUUUACAUUGACCGAAAUAAACUAUGGAAGUGUCUCUUUAGAUAGUCCAAAAUAAAUUCAGUAUUCACAGUUAUAUCUCUUUGUUUAGUCUUGGUGAAUCAAUGAAGUGUACGUCUUCCGUUCCCAUUGGGUUUGUGAGUUUCACAAUAAUCCAGAUGCACACUCAUUAAUGCUACAUCCCAAGUCUAAAUGAACCAAAAAGAAUGUGCUUCAAUGUCAAAGCAAAGAUUAUAACCUAAAACGCUCAGCAUGAGAAUUUAGAGGUGU